This 364-nucleotide long non-coding RNA is filed under the name Elaeis guineensis (African oil palm). RNAcentral describes it as "long non-coding RNA (EGUI_LNC031205)". The record is from RNAcentral. Lineage: Eukaryota; Viridiplantae; Streptophyta; Magnoliopsida; Arecales; Arecaceae.
AUGGAUCCAUUGUUAAUCAUAGCAUACAACCUCUAGAGCUAACUCCAACGAGAGAGGAAGGCUUGAUAGUUGGGGACCAAUGGCCUAAGCCAAGUCUAAAGCCAUCAUUACCAACGAUAGUAGGAAAUAGAAAAAAACAAAGCAUCUGCUUUCUUGAUCAAAUCUGGUAACUCAUCGAUCGAGAACUAAUAUCUUAGGGCUGAAUAAGAUGGAAAGAAAAAUUAAUUAGAAGAGUAGGGACUUUUUACCUCAUGUUGGCAAUGAUUUAGUAGGCUUUUUCAACGAAUACACAGAUAGGGACAGACUAUGUUUGAGAUGAAAAUAAGAUAGUAAGAAGAUGGGAUUGAUCAUCGCUGAGGACCAA